This 5625-nucleotide long non-coding RNA is filed under the name Cottoperca gobio. RNAcentral's name for it is "lncRNA (ENSCGOG00000023915.1)". The record is from RNAcentral. Lineage: Eukaryota; Metazoa; Chordata; Actinopteri; Perciformes; Bovichtidae.
AGAAUAUUAUUCCCAAUUUAGUAUGGUUUAUUUAUUAAAUAACACCGUUGUGUCUUUCUCUUCCCUCCCAUGUCUCCACCUCCCCCUCUCCUCCAGUUGACGGCUCAGCGUCCCUUUGGGCUUUCCUCCCACUCAGGAUCAGACAGUGCUCCACAGUGCCUCCUGCUGGAGAGGCGUGGUGAAGCUGAAGCUGAGACUCAGCAGGUGCAGGAGCUCACAGCGGACAUCAGCUCCCCCCAGGACCACGUGCCCACCCAUCCAGGGACACCCACAGACCCACUGGCUGAGAUGCUGGUCAAUGGAAACAUCCACAAAAAACCUCAAAGCCCUGCGCCAAACCGUGUGUCUUCCCCUCACUCCCCCUGUUCUCCACACUCGCCUCCUCUGCACUCACCUUCCUCUCCUCGCUCCCCUCACUCUCCUCACUCUCCUCACUCUCCUCACUCUCCUCACUCUCCUCGCUCUCCUCGCAGCCCUGUGUUUGCCAAUGGCCACCUCUCCCCUACUGUUAACAGCCAAAGGGAUUUAAGUAUUGGAGCAUUCCCCAAGCUGAAAGACCCCGAGAACGAUUCUGGCCCGACUCCCUGGGCCACAGGGCCUCAGCUAAGGAGGGAGAGGAGCAGAGAAGUGAACCAUGCCGACGAUCAGACCAAUGGACCAGCCUCCUCCCCCCUGUCUGCCCCCCGUAAGGACCCCAGCCGGAGGCAAAGUCGCAUCCCAGUCCUGGAGCCCUCCAGCCUGCUGGAGCUCCCUCCUGCGGGGUCUGCCAAGGAGAAACUCCUGCAGAAGAAAGCUAACCACCAUGGCCCGGUCCCCUCUCCCACUGCCUCUCCAUCCCUCUCUGAUAGGCGUGGCCCCAUGGUGGCCUCCCUCGCCAGGGACCCGCUGUCCUCCACCUCUGACCGCUCUCAGGACGAGGACUCUCUUAUGGGCUCCCGCUCUGACCGCCAGGGAGACGACGCUCCUUCCCUCUCCUCCUCCUCCAGCCCUCUGUCCCGCAAGAGCCGGAUCCCUCGUCCCGUUCAUUCAGCUUCUUCUGCUGAGCAGCUGGCUGCCCAGUUCCUGCCGCGCCCGCCCCCUGGAAAGCCACCUUGCCGACCCACAGCGGAGGGCAGGCUUAGGCGAUAUCGAAUCCGAGCUGGCAGCAACAGUGACUCAGACCUCCUGACAUGCCUUGCUCAGCUGAUGCAUGGUUCCCGGGGCUCCCCCCUUCACCACCGCUCCUCAGCCCAGCAUGGGGGCUCCAGGAUGGGCAUCUGCAGCCUGACGAGCUCCCCCCACCACCACCGCAGCUCCAGCGCCUCCCCGCGCAGCUCCUCCUCCCUGCAGCGCUCCGUCAGCUCCUCGCCCUCCCGCCACGAGCACCGAGGUGGCGGGGGAGGGGGUUGCCUGGGACGCAGCCGCUCUCCUCCCAGCUUCUCUGGCUCGCCACCUCCCCGCCGCUUCUACACUCACCACCAGGAGACCUGCUGCAGCCGGCAGGCUCGCACGGGACCCUUCCACCUGUCCAGGGGGAAAAGCUGCAGCCGAGAUGGCAAGUGCUCCAGCAAGCUGGCCAGAUAGUUGCCCUCCAGGUUACGCUGCCACAGCAGAGAAUGGGAAGACUCUUAUAUCUUGAUAGUUUAGACUGCAGUCAGGAUAAAAGCCUGAGUCUUCCUGUAUAACUUUUCCCUUUUUACGCUGUCAGUCUGAACCUUACACGUCUCGCUGUUUCCUUCACCCCUUCUAUUUGCACACAGGGUUUGUCAUUCAUUUAUGUGCCCAGCUUUGUAGGAGUACUUUAGUAAUGCACUUCCAUAAAGUUGUCGGACUUGUGAGAGACAGAUUUGAAAAAGAAUGAUAAAAAAAAUCUGCGGCAAGAAACUUUUAGUCUCUUAAACUCCAAAAAUGCUGCUUCCUACAUUUCCCAUAAUGCAACUCAAUAGCAUAAGUGCCCACUUCUUUAAAAACCUUCUAGUUUAUAAUGAAGGUUUUCUGUUUAAAAGGUCUGAAGGCCAAUCUGACAUCCGCAGGUUGAAUAGCAUUCCUUAUAACGAGUAAACUGAGCCUCAUGUGUACAAUUGCUGGAGUAUCCCUUUAAGACGACUUAUUAGACGAGCCGUGUCGGGUCCUCAUUUUAUUUAUAUUAUUAUGUUGUAGUACAAAAUAAUGUAGCUGCAAAAUUAAACCGUGAUUUCCCAAUGCAGGCAGCACUAUAGUAUGUAAGUCCAUAGUUAGUUGGGCCAGUGGGCACAUAAAUAAAUCAGUUUCCUGUUUAUUCAUCUUCAUGCAUCCUGCACCACAAUAUAAUGAAACUUAUUUAUCUCCAGUAUUAAUGCACUUGGAUUACACUGAUGGAAUAUCAGUAUAGCUUAUCACAACUUAAUUAAAUAUUGGCCUGGGGUUGACUCAGUUAUCUCCUCUGCAUUUGGAGAUUGCAGGCAGGGUAUAAUAUUUACUUUAUGCUAUAUGUGAGUGCAUAAAGCCAAUAUUUGUGUACAGUUGUAUUUAUUGAGAUAUUUAUUUUGAUGCUUUAGCGAUGCUUAAGACUCCCACCCUCUUCUGUGUGAUAGUGGAUGUAUGGUUUUGUGUCACUCACAUUGGUGUUUAAAUGUUUCAAUCGAAAGGGAUAACUCCAAAGUGACCCUUCUUUAUACAAUCAAUCAUGUCAGGUGCGUGAGGACACACACCUUUUUGUGCCUACUGUGUUGCUUAGAGGGAAUCAAAAGAUGUUCCACUAGCUGAAGGGAUUACAAGUGCGGUAGUUUCUCAGUAGUAGCAGUAGUAAGCUUAAGCAACACAAGGUACAUUACUGAGUAAUGUUCAGACGCAGAUGUUUGUCUCAGCGUGUGCCUUGGCACUUUAGGCAGCUUGAGGAUUCACUUCGUUUGUAAAUUAGACAAAAAAGGGAGCCAAAAACAGACAGCGGUUAUAAGACGACCCUUUUCAGCAGUGUUCUUUUAAUGUAGAAAAGGUAGCAACACAAUUUGUUUGUAAAUCAAACAACAAUUUGAGCAACAGUUUGACUUGAGUAGCUUUUAUUUGUGAUGACAAAAAGGUGAAACCCGUCUUCAGCUGUCCUGCGUCUCGACACCAGGUCAGUGUUUGAGAAACAAAAUGUGAAUUUCAGACCUCAAACAACAUUUUGUCAAACGUUAUUGAAAAAUGGAGGCCAUAUGUAAAUAUAUUUCUCACACCAAAAUGAUGUUCCAUGCUUCCAUGUGCAAGAAUGUUUUUUUGUUUGUUUGUUUUGUGCCUCCUUGCGCUGGAGAAUGUCUUUUUUAUAUAAUGACAUACGGUAUGUUUGUGCACAAGGGAAAGGAAUCAGAGUAUUGUUUGUGUUUGAUUUAGUUAGGAUUCCUCACUGUAACGCUCCUCCACAACCUCCUCCCACUCCUCUGCUUGUAAGAUACUGUAAAAAAAAUAACUGCAGCUUCCUUCCAAUGCUACUCUUUGCAUGCUCAACAGAAAAACACAGAAUCAACUACUGAGUAAAAAGCUGCAUAGCACUUCCCACCUCACAGCAUUUUUCUUGUGAAGAUUUGAACCCAGCAGCAACUUUAUUACCUUUUGAAUCUAUAUAUUUUCUCUCACCCAUCUUCAAAUUCUUUCUACUAUUCCUCCCCCCCCACAUUAUAUAUAUAUAUGACUAGUUUUCUGCGCUUCCUGCACUUGCUGCACUUCCUGACUUGGGAUGAUUGUGUUGCUGGAAUAUGAUAGACUGUACUUUGUAUUAGUGCAACGAGCUGACGUGACACAAAAGAACUAACCAGAAAAAUAAGGAGAGUUUUAAGCACUUGUAUUGUGUAAUACAACACAUGAGUUUAAAGAUUUAAAGGGUUAGUUCAGACAUUUUGAAGUGGGGUUGUAUGAGGUAGUUCUCCAUAGUCGGUGUGUGUUAUCUACAGAAGAUGACGGUCGAGUUAUGGCAUGAGAAUGUAUCUUAGCCAAGGCCGACCGAGAAAUAUCAUUAUCAGUUUAAGUGUACGCUAUAGUUAGAAUAUUUUCACCACUUCACCUUGCUGUCAGAACUGAAGCCUUCUCUUCAAAGCCACCAGACUCCAUUGAAAAAAAACAGUAAUUUUGCCUUCUACUGUAGAUGAUACACUGACUAUGGUUCAGUACGUCAUACGUCCCACUUCAACAGCAGUCCUAACCUCUAUAACACAUGGCUGCACACAAAAAAAAUCACAUUGCCAAAUAUUUUGAUAGAUUCUUGCAGAUGUGGUUUGACGCGAGACGCGAGUGUGUAGAGAUUGAAUGGGCACAUUGCUUUGCAGAUGUAUAAAGUGUGCUGAUUCCUGCAGAUCUUGCAGAUACCCACGCUCGCCUCACAGAGCAGCUACGAUGACUCAUCCUGAAGGCAGACAGCGUUCAGUCAGUCAGUCGCCUUAAUGUCUCCUCUCUGCCCCUCUGUGCAUAGCGAGGGAUGACUGAGCCUUGUCUGUGUUGGAGAUCAUUCCACUAUUCGGCCAAGCCAAGCCUUCCUGUCACUUAUCCCUUUGUGUGGCACGUGCUACCAUGCCUGUCAGCGUGGUCAAUACAUCAACACUGAAAUCAAUGCUGUCAGACUCUUGAGCUUCAAACCGGAGAGCUCCAUGUUUUUCUGUGAGAACGCGCGGGGCCAUUUGUCGAUCGACUGGUGGAAAUGAAAAGCAUUUUCAGGGUGCAGUAUCCAAGGUGUGUUUGUUAGCGUGAUAACUGCGUGCCCUCCAACUGGGGCGUGCGAUUCCUACAUGUCGCCAGCAAUCAAUCUUUGAAUCCUCCCUCUUUCAACUCUUUCAGAUUUCAAGAUAUUUCAAGCUUUCAAAAAUUCAGAACGCUGUUGUGCAGACUUUUAAUAUAUACCUGUGAAAUAUAAAGUAAUUAUUUAAAUACAAAUAAUUAUUCUUAAACCGUAAUUUACAUGCUAACGGGCUUCAGUGGAAGGGAAGAACAGACACUAAACAGUGCUGCUGGUUUUAAAGGAUAAUCGUAUUUCUUCUCAUGCUUUUUUUAAAAUUAUGCACAUAAGUGGUGUGGCGUUGUAGUGCUAGUGUUACGAGAGAGAGAUUUUCUUUGUCGCUCUUUAAAGUGGCCUGCUCAUAGAAAGGUGUAUUUAUAGUAGAUUGCCAGGUGUUUGUGGUUACAGAUACCCAUAUGCCAGCAGAGCAAACCCAGAUGUUUUUGUUUUAUUUUGAAAGGUGAGAUGGAAACUAAUGAAAGCUUUGGUGUGCCCUGGUACACCUCUCAUGUCAUAACAUCGGAUUACUUGUUAGUAACUUAUAUAUACUUGACAGAAAUUAUUUAUUGUGACAUUUGCUAAUUUGCCCAUCCAUCAUUUUGACUUCAAUUGUCGGGAUUUUUUAAUGGUUGAUAUUUUUAUGUUGUAAUGUAUGUCAUGGUUUUGAAAUGUUACUGUACAGUUUCAAGGAAAGAAUGUAACAUGUGGGAGUUUUGCAUUGUAUAUAACUGUAAUUAUUUAUGUUUAUUCUAUCAUUUGUAUCAUAUCAAUGCCUUGUACAGUGUUUUUUUUUCCUUUCUUUUUUGAAAUUAUUUUGUAUUUUAUUUUUAUAAACUGGUUAUAAAUAAAAUACUCAUUCCGCAUGCAGACAUAAUCUUGUUAAAGGUUUCCUUUUUUAUUCCUGAAGUUUCAGCCUGUAGAAA